AGGGGCCAUAGUGAAAGAGGACACAUGGGAUUGUAAGAGCCAGAUUAUGGGGGUGGAGGGUAAAGGCUGAAGCAAGUCCAUCUUGGAUGCUAACUCACUAUGUUAGCUUCUGAUUAACCCCAGUUCCAGGAAGGCUGCUGAAAUUUCCAGUUUAUGUGUUGUUCCUUGUGUAAGAGCAUGGACUUACUGCAAAUCCUGCCCUUAGGGCAAAUUCCUACCUAUUCCUGCGGAAGCAUGUGUAUCAUUCCCCUAUGGUUUAUAACCCCUGAGUCUGGGGGUAAUGGCACGGGGACCCACCAGCUUGUCUGCCGCCAUCUGGGUUUUUUGAGAUGAAGUCUCGUUCUUGUCCCCCAGGCUGGAGUGCAAUGGCAUGAUCUCAGCUCACUGCAACCUCUGCCUCCCGGGUUCAAGCAAUUCUCCUGUCUCAGCCUCCUGAGUAGCUGGAUUACAGAGAAACACAGAGGAGAGACCCAGAGAGAAGGAGAAGGCCGCAUGAAGAUGGAGCAGAGACUGGAGUUAUUCAGCCAAGUCAAGGAAUGCCUGGAGCACCAGAAGCCGGAAGAGGCAAGGAAGGAUCCUCCCUUAGAGCAUUUGGAAGAGUGUGGCCCUGCCAACACCUUGACUUCAAACUUCUGGCCUCCAUAACUAUGAAAUAAAUUCUUGUUGUUUUAAGCCACCAAGUUUGUGGUAACUUCUUACAGCAACCCUAGGAAAUUAACACACAGAGUGUCAGUUACCUAAACAUUGUGAGCCUCA
RNAcentral lists this long non-coding RNA (756 nucleotides) under Homo sapiens (human). Its description in RNAcentral is "HSALNT0292941". Lineage: Eukaryota; Metazoa; Chordata; Mammalia; Primates; Hominidae. The record is from RNAcentral.